Molecule: ribosomal RNA, 253 nt
Filed under: uncultured bacterium
Lineage: Bacteria
Description: partial 16S ribosomal RNA
Rfam family: Bacterial small subunit ribosomal RNA
Source: RNAcentral
UACGGGGGGGGCAAGCGUUGUUCGGAAUUACUGGGCGUAAAGGGCUCGUAGGCGGCCAACUAAGUCGGACGUGAAAUCCCUCGGCUCAACCGGGGAACUGCGUCCGAUACUGGAUGGCUUGAGUUCGGGAGAGGGAUGCGGAAUUCCAGGUGUAGCGGUGAAAUGCGUAGAUAUCAGGAGGAAUACCGGUGGUGUAGACGGCUCUCUGGACCGCCACUGACGCUGAGACACGAAAGCGUGGGUAGCAAACAGG